This 270-nucleotide ribosomal RNA is filed under the name uncultured archaeon. Its description in RNAcentral is "partial 16S ribosomal RNA". It matches the Rfam family "Archaeal small subunit ribosomal RNA", at positions 477 to 747 of the family's 1478-position model. The record is from RNAcentral.
CAGCACCUCUAGUGGUCAGGAUGAUUAUUGGGCCUAAAGCAUCCGUAGCCGGCGCUGUAAGUUUUCGGUUAAAUCUGUACGCUCAACGUACAGGCUGCCGGGAAUACUGCAGCGCUAGGGAGUGGGAGAGGUAGACGGUACUCGGUAGGAAGGGGUAAAAUCCUUUGAUCUAUUGAUGACCACCUGUGGCGAAGGCGGUCUACCAGAACACGUCCGACGGUGAGGGAUGAAAGCUGGGGGAGCAAACCGGAUUAGAUACCCGAGUAGUCC